RNAcentral lists this long non-coding RNA (1107 nucleotides) under Canis lupus familiaris (dog). RNAcentral describes it as "lncRNA (ENSCAFG00040024359.1)". Lineage: Eukaryota; Metazoa; Chordata; Mammalia; Carnivora; Canidae. The record is from RNAcentral.
UCUGGAACAUUAUCAUAUUCAGUUCAGAAGCAAACCUUUCCUUCCCUUCUUCCCCUCCUCCAUCCCACCCUUCUUUCCUCAAAUCCCAAACCUCUAGUAUUCCAGCUUCUGUGCUGAGUUUGGCUAUGUGGUGGUAAAGAAAACCUCUGGGAUUCUUGCCCUCAUGAAGUUCAUAGCUGAGCUUGAGUAAUUUCUGUAGAACUUUGAUAUUUUCUUCUGUAUCUUCCUCUACAAAUGCUUAUCAUUGCUUAGCAAGGUGCUGUAUUACAUAAGUAGGUUCUUUGAAAAGGAACAUCUGGCAGGAUGAUCAUUUUCUGAAAGUAUUUUGGAAAACACCGAUGAGGAGCUACAACUGGGUGACUCCGGGAAGUCAGCCAGCAAGGAAUCUCUACAUCCGACGUGGAGCUCAAACUCACGACCCAAGAUCAAGAGUCCCAUUCUCUACUGACUGAGCCAGCCAGGUACCCUGUUGUAUUUUAAAUUAGCUUGUAUCUCCUCUUGGGAAACUGGGGAAAUUGGAUAUUUUUAGACUAAAUGAGCCAACAGUUAUCUUUCAGUCCUGGCUAAAGCCCAAUGCUAUGUUGUUCACUAGCUGAGGAAUGGAGAAAAAUAGGAGAAGGGAUAGCAAGGGACAAUAUCAUGACAAUUGUUCUAGGACAACCUCUUCUUUAACAGAUGGAUCAGAGGCUCAGAAAGCUAGGUGAGUUAAAGUAAAGGUAUUUAAUAAGGAUUUAUGGAUUGCUUUUGGAGAGCUAACAUUUUCUGGUCCUACAAUCUAUAUGAUGCCUAUGGAGAUACAGGGACAAGGAGAUCAGGGCUAGUUCAAAGUUAGCUGACUUGUGAGGACAGCUCAUUGACUGAAGACUGCCCAGUGCUGUGUGGCUCCUGUGAGUGGGGUCUGUGAUAACUGCUCUGUCUGCAGAGGGCCGUGGGCUCUAGGACAGGCUCCUAAGAGAGUUCAGCGUUAGUAUCACCCGGCUGCUAUUGAAAUGCUAUAAUAUUGAUUAUAUUCAGAAUAAUUUCUUUUUUCCUUUACCAAUUAGUAAAUUAGCACCAGUUUAUUAAUAUAUUUUAAAAAUUAUUAUUGGGCCCUUUUGUGGGUCAGGU